UUUCCGUAGGUGAACCUGCGGAAGGAUCAUUACUGAGUGAGGGCCCUCUGGGUCCAACCUCCCACCCGUGUUUAUUAUACCUUGUUGCUUCGGUGAGCCCGCCUCACGGCCUCCGGGGGGCAUCUGCCCCCGGGCCCGCGCCCACCGAAGACACCUAGAACUCUGUAUGAAGAUUGCAGUCUGAGCAAAAACUAAAUAAGUUAAAACUUUCAACAACGGAUCUCUUGGUUCCG
This 233-nucleotide unclassified non-coding RNA is filed under the name plant metagenome. RNAcentral's name for it is "partial contains small subunit ribosomal RNA, internal transcribed spacer 1, and 5.8S ribosomal RNA". The record is from RNAcentral.